AUUAAAUGAUGAUCAAAUUAAUUACUGAUUUGCUAUGAUGCUCCCAAACGAGCUUUUUAAUACUGAUGAGA
Small nucleolar RNA from Cherax quadricarinatus, 71 nucleotides. The record is from RefSeq and is a predicted model, not a curated record. Lineage: Eukaryota; Metazoa; Arthropoda; Malacostraca; Decapoda; Parastacidae.